CACAAGUUUACAUCCCUCUUAAGUUUCCAUACUUAAGUAAGAGUAUGUGAAAAGUAGUUAGGGUUGCCACCUUUCUUGGAAAAACAUACCGGCCUUACUAAUUUAUGUGUGGGUAACAUCACAUGAUGUAAAUCACAAGGAGUGACAUAAGAGAAAAUGCUGUAAAAUCACCAAAAAACUAUUUAGUUUAAAUCUGCUGUAAAGAUGGAUUCCUCCCAGUGCCGCCAUGACUCAGUGCCCCCAUAUGUCGAUUACUCCAGGUCUCAGUGUUCCUAUGUAUCAGUGUCUCAGUGCCCCAUGUCUCCCAGUGUCCCUAAGUGCCGUGUCCCCAUGUCUCCCAGUGAUCCUAUGUAUCAGUGUCUCAAUGCCCUAUGUCUCCCUGUGUCCCCAUGUAUCCCAGGGUCCCCAUGUCACUAGGACACUAGGAAGACGGGGAGACCUGGGGAGACCUAGGGACACGGAGACACCAGUGACACUGGGAGACUAGGGGACUCUGGCUGGGACACAUGGGGACAAUGGGAAAAUAGGGGACACUUGAAGACAUGGGAUCACAGACACCAGGGACAAAGAUACUAGAGACACUGGCGGGGGGACAUGGUGACAUUGAGACAUGGGGGCACUGGGAGACAUGGGGACACUGAGAUACCAGGGCCACAGACACUAGGGACACUAGCUUGGUGACAUUGUGACACUUGAGGCACUGAGAGACAUGGAGGCACUAGGAGACAUGGGGACAGUGAGACACUGGCAGACUGGGGGCACUGGGAGAGUAGGGGUCACUGGAAGACUAGGGGUCACUGGGAGACUAGAGGCACUGAGACACCAGGGACACUGGCUGAGAGACAUGGGGACACUGUGUCCCCAUGUGUCUGUGUCAUAAUGUCUCCCAAUGUCCCUUAGUGUCUCAGUGUCUGCCAUAAUGUCUACCAAUGUCCCUUAGUGUCUCAGUGUAUGUCUCCCUGCUGCCUUUCCCCCCAUCCCUUACUUCCCUGAGCUGUAGGCUGUCUCUGCAGGGUGGGAGUUGCUGUCUGGACUCUCUGUAGCUGCACCCCUGCAGAUCAGUGAGUAUAGAUAGGCAGGGAGGGAUAUGC
Non-coding RNA from Pelobates cultripes (western spadefoot toad), 1091 nucleotides. Lineage: Eukaryota; Metazoa; Chordata; Amphibia; Anura; Pelobatidae. The record is from the annotation of a GenBank genome assembly.